The sequence is a ribosomal RNA, 2244 nucleotides long. It matches the Rfam family "Bacterial large subunit ribosomal RNA", at positions 590 to 2816 of the family's 2925-position model.
GGUGUGACUGCGUACCUUUUGUAUAAUGGGUCAGCGACUUAUAUUCUGUAGCAAGGUUAACCGUAUAGGGGAGCCGCAGGGAAACCGAGUCUUAACUGGGCGUUAAGUUGCAGGGUAUAGACCCGAAACCCGGUGAUCUAGCCAUGGGCAGGUUGAAGGUUGGGUAACACUAACUGGAGGACCGAACCGACUAAUGUUGAAAAAUUAGCGGAUGACUUGUGGCUGGGGGUGAAAGGCCAAUCAAACCGGGAGAUAGCUGGUUCUCCCCGAAAGCUAUUUAGGUAGCGCCUCGUGAAUUCAUCUUCGGGGGUAGAGCACUGUUUCGGCUAGGGGGUCAUCCCGACUUACCAACCCGAUGCAAACUACGAAUACCGAAGAAUGUUAUCACGGGAGACACACGGCGGGUGCUAACGUCCGUCGUGAAGAGGGAAACAACCCAGACCGCCAGCUAAGGUCCCAAAGUCAUGGUUAAGUGGGAAACGAUGUGGGAAGGCACAGACAGCCAGGAUGUUGGCUUAGAAGCAGCCAUCAUUUAAAGAAAGCGUAAUAGCUCACUGGUCGAGUCGGCCUGCGCGGAAGAUGUAACGGGGCUAAACCAUGCACCGAAGCUGCGGCAGCGACGCUUAUGCGUUGUUGGGUAGGGGAGCGUUCUGUAAGCCUGCGAAGGUGGCCUGUGAGGGCUGCUGGAGGUAUCAGAAGUGCGAAUGCUGACAUAAGUAACGAUAAAGCGGGUGAAAAGCCCGCUCGCCGGAAGACCAAGGGUUCCUGUCCAACGUUAAUCGGGGCAGGGUGAGUCGACCCCUAAGGCGAGGCCGAAAGGCGUAGUCGAUGGGAAACAGGUUAAUAUUCCUGUACUUGGUGUUACUGCGAAGGGGGGACGGAGAAGGCUAUGUUAGCCGGGCGACGGUUGUCCCGGUUUAAGCAUGUAGGCGGAGGUUCCAGGUAAAUCCGGUACCUUUUAACGCUGAGGUGUGAUGACGAGGCACUACGGUGCUGAAGUAACAAAUGCCCUGCUUCCAGGAAAAGCCUCUAAGCAUCAGGUAACAUUAAAUCGUACCCCAAACCGACACAGGUGGUCAGGUAGAGAAUACCAAGGCGCUUGAGAGAACUCGGGUGAAGGAACUAGGCAAAAUGGUGCCGUAACUUCGGGAGAAGGCACGCUGGUGUGUAGGUGAAGUCCCUGCGGAUGGAGCUGAGACCAGUCGAAGAUACCAGCUGGCUGCAACUGUUUAUUAAAAACACAGCACUGUGCAAACACGAAAGUGGACGUAUACGGUGUGACGCCUGCCCGGUGCCGGAAGGUUAAUUGAUGGGGUUAUCCGUAAGGAGAAGCUCUUGAUCGAAGCCCCGGUAAACGGCGGCCGUAACUAUAACGGUCCUAAGGUAGCGAAAUUCCUUGUCGGGUAAGUUCCGACCUGCACGAAUGGCGUAAUGAUGGCCAGGCUGUCUCCACCCGAGACUCAGUGAAAUUGAACUCGCUGUGAAGAUGCAGUGUACCCGCGGCAAGACGGAAAGACCCCGUGAACCUUUACUAUAGCUUGACACUGAACAUUGAGCCUUGAUGUGUAGGAUAGGUGGGAGGCUUUGAAGCGUGGACGCCAGUCUGCGUGGAGCCAACCUUGAAAUACCACCCUUUAAUGUUUGAUGUUCUAACGUUGGCCCCUUAUCGGGGUUGCGGACAGUGUCUGGUGGGUAGUUUGACUGGGGCGGUCUCCUCCCAAAGAGUAACGGAGGAGCACGAAGGUUAGCUAAUCCUGGUCGGACAUCAGGAGGUUAGUGCAAUGGCAUAAGCUAGCUUGACUGCGAGCGUGACGGCGCGAGCAGGUGCGAAAGCAGGUCAUAGUGAUCCGGUGGUUCUGAAUGGAAGGGCCAUCGCUCAACGGAUAAAAGGUACUCCGGGGAUAACAGGCUGAUACCGCCCAAGAGUUCAUAUCGACGGCGGUGUUUGGCACCUCGAUGUCGGCUCAUCACAUCCUGGGGCUGAAGUAGGUCCCAAGGGUAUGGCUGUUCGCCAUUUAAAGUGGUACGCGAGCUGGGUUUAGAACGUCGUGAGACAGUUCGGUCCCUAUCUGCCGUGGGCGCUGGAGAAUUGAGGGGGGCUGCUCCUAGUACGAGAGGACCGGAGUGGACGCAUCACUGGUGUUCGGGUUGUCAUGCCAAUGGCACUGCCCGGUAGCUAAAUGCGGAAGAGAUAAGUGCUGAAAGCAUCUAAGCACGAAACUUGCCCCGAGAUGAGUUCUCCCU